GGGUCCAUAGCUCAGCUGGGAGAGCGCCUCGUUCGCAACGAGGAGGUCGGGGGUCCGAAUCCCCUUGGAUCCACCA
RNAcentral lists this transfer RNA (76 nucleotides) under Erysipelotrichaceae bacterium. RNAcentral describes it as "tRNA-Ala". It matches the Rfam family "tRNA". Rfam says of the family: Transfer RNA (tRNA) molecules are approximately 80 nucleotides in length. Their secondary structure includes four short double-helical elements and three loops (D, anti-codon, and T loops). The record is from RNAcentral. Lineage: Bacteria; Bacillati; Bacillota; Erysipelotrichia; Erysipelotrichales; Erysipelotrichaceae.